Oryza barthii is the source of this 207-nucleotide non-coding RNA. The record is from Rfam. Lineage: Eukaryota; Viridiplantae; Streptophyta; Magnoliopsida; Poales; Poaceae.
AAAAAAAUAAACCUUAGAUUUACUUGUCCAACAUUUGACUGUCUAUCUUAUAUGAAACUUUUUUAUAAUUAGUAUUUUCAUUGUUGUUAGGUAAUAAAACAUAAUUAAUGCUUUAUGUGUGACUUGUCUUUUUAAUUUUUUUCAUAAUUUUUUCAAAUAAGACGGACGGUCAAACGUUGGACACGAAAAUCCAGUGUUUGUCUUUUU